RNAcentral lists this ribosomal RNA (730 nucleotides) under uncultured bacterium. Its description in RNAcentral is "bacterial SSU rRNA". It matches the Rfam family "Bacterial small subunit ribosomal RNA", at positions 771 to 1501 of the family's 1533-position model. The record is from RNAcentral.
AACAGGAUUAGAUACCCUGGUAGUCCACGCCGUAAACGAUGUCGACUUGGAGGUUGUGCCCUUGAGGCGUGGCUUCCGGAGCUAACGCGUUAAGUCGACCGCCUGGGGAGUACGGCCGCAAGGUUCAAACUCAAAUGAAUUGACGGGGGCCCGCACAAGCGGUGGAGCAUGUGGCUUAAUUCGAUGCAACGCGAAGAACCUUACCUACUCUUGACAUCCAGAGAACUUAGCAGAGAUGCUUUGGUGCCUUCGGGAACUCUGAGACAGGUGCUGCAUGGCUGUCGUCAGCUCGUGUUGUGAAAUGUUGGGUUAAGUCCCGCAACGAGCGCAACCCUUAUCCUUUGUUGCCAGCGGUUAGGCCGGGAACUCAAAGGAGACUGCCAGUGAUAAACUGGAGGAAGGUGGGGAUGACGUCAAGUCAUCAUGGCCCUUACGAGUAGGGCUACACACGUGCUACAAUGGCGCAUACAAAGAGAAGCGACCUCGCGAGAGCAAGCGGACCUCAUAAAGUGCGUCGUAGUCCGGAUUGGAGUCUGCAACUCGACUCCAUGAAGUCGGAAUCGCUAGUAAUCGUAGAUCAGAAUGCUACGGUGAAUACGUUCCCGGGCCUUGCACACACCGCCCGUCACACCAUGGGAGUGGGUUGCAAAAGAAGUAGGUAGCUUAACCUUCGGGAGGGCGCUUACCACUUUGUGAUUCAUGACUGGGGUGAAGUCGUAACAAGGUAACC